RNAcentral lists this ribosomal RNA (251 nucleotides) under uncultured prokaryote. RNAcentral's name for it is "partial 16S ribosomal RNA". It matches the Rfam family "Bacterial small subunit ribosomal RNA", at positions 525 to 775 of the family's 1533-position model. The record is from RNAcentral.
ACGGGGAGUGCAAGCGUUGUUCGGAAUCAUUGGGCGUAAAGCGCGUGUAGGCGGCUUGGUAAGUUCGGUGUGAAAGCCCUCGGCUCAACCGAGGAAGUGCAUCGGAUACUGCCAGACUUGAGUGCGGGAGGGGAGAGCGGAAUUCCCAGUGUAGAGGUGAAAUUCGUAGAUAUUGGGAGGAACACCAGUAGCGAAGGCGGCUCUCUGGACCGACACUGACGCUGAGACGCGAAAGCGUGGGUAGCAAACAG